GCCAGGUGCAGUGGUGUGCGCCUGUAGUCCCAGCUACUCAGGAGGCUGAGGUAGGAGAAUCGCUUGAACUUGGGAGGCAGAGGUUGCAGUGAGCAGAGAGCAUGCCACUGCACUCUAGCCUGGGUGACAGAGCGAGACUCUGUCUCAA
This is an unclassified non-coding RNA of Macaca mulatta (Rhesus monkey), 148 nucleotides long. It matches the Rfam family "Metazoan signal recognition particle RNA". From Rfam's summary of the family: The signal recognition particle (SRP) is a universally conserved ribonucleoprotein. It is involved in the co-translational targeting of proteins to membranes. The record is from Ensembl. NCBI's taxonomy places the organism in Eukaryota, Metazoa, Chordata, Mammalia, Primates, Cercopithecidae.